CAGUCGAACGAGACCUUCGGGUCUAGUGGCGCACGGGUGCGUAACGCGUGGGAAUCUGCCCUUGGGUUCGGAAUAACAGUGAGAAAUUACCGCUAAUACCGAAUGAUGACGUAAGUCCAAAGAUUUAUCGCCCAAGGAUGAGCCCGCGUAGGAUUAGCUAGUUGGUGAGGUAAAAGCUCACCAAGGCGACGAUCCUUAGCUGGUCUGAGAGAAUGAUCAGCCACACUGGGACUGAGACACGGCCCAGACUCCUACGGGAGGCAGCAGUGGGGAAUAUUGGACAAUGGGCGAAAGCCUGAUCCAGCAAUGCCGCGUGAGUGAUGAAGGCCUUAGGGUUGUAAAGCUCUUUUACCCGGGAUGAUAAUGACAGUACCGGGAGAAUAAGCUCCGGCUAACUCCGUGCCAGCAGCCGCG
Molecule: ribosomal RNA, 414 nt
Filed under: uncultured soil bacterium
Lineage: Bacteria
Description: bacterial SSU rRNA
Rfam family: Bacterial small subunit ribosomal RNA
Source: RNAcentral